Molecule: unclassified non-coding RNA, 253 nt
Filed under: uncultured bacterium
Lineage: Bacteria
Description: contains 16S-23S intergenic spacer region
Rfam family: Bacterial small subunit ribosomal RNA
Source: RNAcentral
UACGUAAGUGGCAAACGUUGUCCGGAAUCACUGGGCGUAAAGAGCAUGUAGGCGGCAUCGUAAGUCCGAGGUGAAAUCCAAGGGCCCAACCCUUGAACUGCCUUGGAAACUGCGGCGCUAGAGGUCCGGAGGGGAAUGCGGAAUUCCGGGUGUAGCGGUGAAAUGCGUAGAUAUCCGGGAGAACAUCAAUGGCGAAGGCAGCAUUCUGGCCGGUUCCUGACGCUGAGAUGCGAAAGCCAGGGGAGCGAACGGG